This is a non-coding RNA of Elaeis guineensis (African oil palm), 884 nucleotides long. The record is from RefSeq and is a predicted model, not a curated record. Lineage: Eukaryota; Viridiplantae; Streptophyta; Magnoliopsida; Arecales; Arecaceae.
GGAUGAGGCCUACAGAAACACACCGGUAUUCUUUGGCUAUCGCUCGGUGGCGGUGAAAACACCUUUCAUGCUUCGCCGAAAAACGAAAACGGCGGCGGCGUACCCAUGUUUGAUCGCGAUCCAUCAUGUUGAUCACCGGCCCGCCAACCCCAACCGAAGCCCUCUUCGUCGUGGCACUGAACCCCAAAAAGACAACUCCAUCCCAGGGCACCCCACAGGGAUCAUUUGACUGCCCCCAACUUGGUGGCGCAGCCUGCCAUUGAUUCAUCAGUGAUCGGAGAGCAGCAGCUAUCAGAAGAAACAAAUAUUGAUAACAGGGAAAAAGCAAAGAAUAACACAAUUAUGCAUCAAGGGAGCAGAGAUCAGAUGAGACAACAAAAAGUUUGGAAGAGUUUCUCUACAAUGAAUGGUCUAAAACGGAACUGACGUGUUUUCGUGGCUUACGUCUAUUAUCAUCAAUCCUCCAGAAUGUAAGAAUGGAAAGAAAUCUUGCUGCUAAACUUUUGUGCAUCGAGAGGUGAAAAUUUGUGGCUCACAUAAUAUUAUUAGAGAUGUGAUGAACUAUUAAGUAGAAUUUAAUCUUCUUGGGGAUUUUAAUAGGUAGAGAAAGGACAAUGAAUAUUGAUUUAGAUUAGACAGAUUGGGAAAUCAUUGAUACACUUGCGAUUUUCAUUCCACAUGCUGAUUUUUUGGGCCAAAAUAUCAUGAUACUCAUGACCAAGCUCAUCAAAACACAUUUCUAUGGGACCUCCAACCACCUCAUACCUCUAUGAACUGCUUCAUCUAACAAAGAAGAAAUCUCUUCCUAUAAUCCAUUUCAAUUCAGUGGACAAAGAAACAGCAGGAUGAGAAUUACCGUCCUGUUGAUCGGUGUCGCAUGAACA